RNAcentral lists this long non-coding RNA (766 nucleotides) under Nicotiana benthamiana. RNAcentral's name for it is "long non-coding RNA (NBEN_LNC022083)". The record is from RNAcentral. Lineage: Eukaryota; Viridiplantae; Streptophyta; Magnoliopsida; Solanales; Solanaceae.
CCCUCCGUACAGAAGCUCUUUCUUCUUCCUAAGACUAAAGGAUCCGAAAAAUACACCUAAAAGCUAACCUAAAGACCUACAAAAGACCAGCUGCUUUUCGCCAUAAACUAGAAGCGGGGACCACCCACCCAUCGGUGUUUCUUCUUAUUCCCAUUCUUAACACCAGUCACCAAUAGCCCAAGUCGCUCCCUCAUCACCAAACUCUUUGAAAAACCAGCAACCCCCAUCAGAUCGAGCACACACAGUAAGGCAACGAGCGUAAGUCGAGUUUUUGAUUUCAAAAAGUCAAAAAACAAUACAAAAAGAUGUUUCGUCUUCUUCGUCCUUGAUUUGAUUAUUAGUUUCUGAAAUAUGGAUUUUAACUGAAGUCUGGGGUUGUUUUUUAGUUUGAGUUGUGUGGAGGUUGCUGCUGAAGGCUUAAAUCCGUAAUUUCAAUUUGAUUUGUGCUGAUUUCAUUUGAAGUUGUGUCAAUGUCCGAUUAUUUUUGUUUAAUCGGAAAGCUUCUUCAGGUUGCUCUCAUCUUUCUUGAUGCUUUUGUUAGGAUGGUACUGUUUUAGUGGUUCUGUAAAGAUUUAGAGUUUGUGGCUUGCCUUUCAUUUUGUGUUCAUUAGUCUAACAUUCUUUAGCUUCAUUUUGAAGGCCUUUUCUGGUUUUGGUUGUGAUUAUUUAUUAGUACCCAGAAUCUAAUUUAGACAUUAGUUCGAUAUAAUAUUAAUAGAAGGAUUACAUUUCGGGUUUGAUUGAUAUUGAAAAUGGAUUGGAAUCC